Pezoporus occidentalis (night parrot) is the source of this 466-nucleotide long non-coding RNA. RefSeq lists it as uncharacterized. The record is from RefSeq and is a predicted model, not a curated record. NCBI's taxonomy places the organism in Eukaryota, Metazoa, Chordata, Aves, Psittaciformes, Psittacidae. The transcript is spliced from 2 exons.
GGGUCCUGUCCCCUCCCUUCCCAUCCGUCAGCGCGGCGGGUCGCGGCUGCCGCUCCUCUGCCGGUGACCGCUGCUGUGUGCUGCGGCUGAGAAGGGAUUCUCCAGGGACUUUGGCCAAGAGCGUCCCCCUGCCCUCUGACUGUAGAGGUGCUCUGGAGAGGCUGCUGUGUCUGUGUUCGGUGGAAAACGAUAGCGGACUUGUCCUGACAAACGGUGGUUCAUGGAGGUGUGACAGUAAUUCUGCAGAGGUUUUUCUGUCUGAGUAGCUGUCAGGCAGCUCCUGAGGCCUGAAACACAGUGCUGGUGAUAGGUAGAGAAGCACAUCUUUAAGAAGAAACCAGAGCCAACCGGACCUUCAGUCUGGUUGUGACUGGCUUUUGGACAGGAUGCUUUGUUCAGAAGUUACAAAAAGUAAGUUACUUUCCAAAUCAGAUGUAAUAAAAAGAAACAGGUUUGCUAAGGAAAU